Molecule: ribosomal RNA, 548 nt
Filed under: uncultured Glomus
Lineage: Eukaryota; Fungi; Glomeromycota; Glomeromycetes; Glomerales; Glomeraceae
Description: SSU rRNA
Rfam family: Eukaryotic small subunit ribosomal RNA
Source: RNAcentral
UUGGAGGGCAAGUCUGGUGCCAGCAGCCGCGGUAAUUCCAGCUCCAAUAGCGUAUAUUAAAGUUGUUGCAGUUAAAAAGCUCGUAGUUGAAUUUCGAGACCGGUUUAUUGGUCGUGCUUUUGUACGUACUGGUAUUAUUGGUUUCUCCUUUCUGACGAAUCAUAAUGCCAUUAAUUUGGUGUUUUGGGGAAUCAGGACUGUUACUUUGAAAAAAUUAGAGUGUUUAAAGCAGGCUCACGCUUGAAUACAUUAGCAUGGAAUAACGAAAUAGGACGUUUGAUUUUAUUUUGUUGGUUUCUAGGAUCGACGUAAUGAUUAAUAGGGAUAGUUGGGGGCAUUAGUAUUCAAUUGUCAGAGGUGAAAUUCUUGGAUUUAUUGAAGACUAACUACUGCGAAAGCAUUUGCCAAGGAUGUUUUCAUUAAUCAAGAACGAAAGUUAGGGGAUCGAAGACGAUCAGAUACCGUCGUAGUCUUAACCAUAAACUAUGCCGACUAGGGAUCGGAUGAUGUUAAUUUUUUAAUGACUCAUUCGGCGCCUUACGGGAAAC